RNAcentral lists this ribosomal RNA (320 nucleotides) under uncultured Prevotellaceae bacterium. Its description in RNAcentral is "bacterial SSU rRNA". It matches the Rfam family "Bacterial small subunit ribosomal RNA", at positions 352 to 669 of the family's 1533-position model. The record is from RNAcentral. Lineage: Bacteria; Pseudomonadati; Bacteroidota; Bacteroidia; Bacteroidales; Prevotellaceae.
UGAGGGAAUAUUUGGGUCAAUGGGCGCAAGCCUGAACCAGCCAAGUAGCGUGCAGGAUGACGGCCCUCCGGGUUGUAAACUGCUUUUAGUUGGGAAUAAAGUGCGGGACGCGUCCCGUUUUGUAUGUACCAUCAGAAAAAGGACCGGCUAAUUCCGUGCCAGCAGCCGCGGUAAUACGGAAGGUCCGGGCGUUAUCCGGAUUUAUUGGGUUUAAAGGGAGCGCAGGCGGACCCUUAAGUCAGUUGUGAAAUACGGCGGCUCAACCGUCGGACUGCAGUUGAUACUGGGGGUCUUGAGUUCACACAGGGAUGCCGGAAUUC